CUCGCUUUACCAGCAACAAUGAUCUUGGAGGUCAUCUUUCUGGAAUGUAAGAUGGAAGAGGGCUGGGGACCUGCCUCAGACUUUGGCUAUAGAAUAUCUCAUGGGGAUAGAAUUUGGAUGUGAUGGAAGCAGUCCUUUGGCAAUAUCUCAGAGGUCGUUAGGAUCAUGUUGG
Delphinapterus leucas (beluga whale) is the source of this 172-nucleotide non-coding RNA. The record is from RefSeq and is a predicted model, not a curated record. Lineage: Eukaryota; Metazoa; Chordata; Mammalia; Artiodactyla; Monodontidae.